GAUGAGGUGGCUGAGUGUGGUAAAGCAACAGUUUGCUAAACUGUCGGGGCUAGUAGGCCCUGCAUGGGUUCAAAUCCCAUUCUCAUCG
RNAcentral lists this transfer RNA (88 nucleotides) under Ephydatia muelleri. RNAcentral's name for it is "tRNA-Ser". It matches the Rfam family "tRNA". From Rfam's summary of the family: Transfer RNA (tRNA) molecules are approximately 80 nucleotides in length. Their secondary structure includes four short double-helical elements and three loops (D, anti-codon, and T loops). Lineage: Eukaryota; Metazoa; Porifera; Demospongiae; Spongillida; Spongillidae. The record is from RNAcentral. RNAcentral also lists the same sequence under 7 other names.